This 997-nucleotide unclassified non-coding RNA is filed under the name Hevea brasiliensis (rubber tree). Lineage: Eukaryota; Viridiplantae; Streptophyta; Magnoliopsida; Malpighiales; Euphorbiaceae. The record is from RNAcentral.
AUCACUUUCUACUGGGAUAUGCACUCCGGUAAGAUAUGGAAAUUUGCUCAAAGAGAAAACUCCAUUUAUUACUUUUGUCUUAGGUGGUCCUGGUAGUGGAAAAGGUACACAAUGUAUAAAGAUAGCACAGACCUUUGGAUUCACACAUCUGAGUGCAGGGGAUUUGCUAAGGAGGGAAAUACUUUCUAACAGUGAAGAUGGCACCAUGAUUCUGAACACAAUUAAAGAGGGCAAAAUUGUUCCUUCAGAAGUGACAGUCAAACUGAUUAAAAAGGAAAUGGAGUCAAGUGAGAACUAUAAAUUUCUUAUUGAUGGAUUCCCACGAAGUGAGGAGAACCGCAUAGCAUUUGAACGCAUAAUUGGAGCAGAACCAAACGUUGUGCUUUUCUUUGACUGCCCAGAAGAAGAGAUGGUAAAACGAGUGCUAAACCGUAAUGAGGGCCGAGUUGAUGACAACAUAGAUACUAUCAAGAAGCGUCUUAAAGUAUUUUCAUCAUUAAAUCUUCCUGUUAUUGGCUACUAUUCAAAGAGAGGAAAACUGCGUACAAUCAAUGCAGUUGGAACAGUAGAUGAGAUUUUUGAACAAGUUCGCGCUGUUUUUACCGAAUGUGAGGCAAUGAAAUGAAAGAUAGUUUUGAUCAAGGAUGAGCACCACAAAAUUUUUGGUACUUAGUUGGAGUUGCUCAGCAUUUUUGGGCCAGGAUGGUGCAGAUAGUUUGGCAAACCAUGAUUUCCUGAAAGGCUUAAAAUUCUGGGUUAAAGGAUUCGAGGAAUUUUACCUUUACAAGCAUUUCCCAGCCUAGACGGUGAAACUUAUUUUCCAUGUUUAUUGAUUUUGGUGAUGCGGGUAGAUAGCCUAAGGUGCAAUGAAACCUUUAUUACACGUCUGUUUGUAGAAUUUGGAAAGGAAACCAAAAAUGGCAAAAGCAAGAUCUUAUCAGACAAGACAUUAUUAUAUCACUUUAUUUCAUUUUUUGAGAAGGGAAUCCUAUCAAAG